RNAcentral lists this long non-coding RNA (1681 nucleotides) under Arachis ipaensis. RNAcentral's name for it is "long non-coding RNA (AIPA_LNC002553)". Lineage: Eukaryota; Viridiplantae; Streptophyta; Magnoliopsida; Fabales; Fabaceae. The record is from RNAcentral.
AUUUUCAUCUGCGAAAUUCUUCGGUGUUCUUAUUCUGAUGAUUCUAAAUCCGUGUUGUAACUCUUAACCUUAGGGCUCAAUCCCCUUUUGAUCAAGGUACAAUAAUUCUCUUGCUUCAAUUUUUCACUUCAUAGUUUGAACAAUAUUUUAGCCAUUAAAGCAUUUUUAGGUAACAAUAUUAGGCUUAUGACCUCUUUCCAUCGCAUUAUCACUCGAAUUGUGAGCUUAAUUUCUUUUAUUGGUAAUUUCUAUGGUGUAAAUAGUUGAUGCAUUACUAGUUUGUGAUGAAGAAAAUGCUCAGAGUGUGUGUUGUGUCGUGUGAUGUGAUUGAAAGAGUUUAUAAGCCUACUUUUGAUACUUACAAUGCUUUGAUGUCUGAAUGUUGUUUGAAACUGUAAUGUGAAUAAGGCAAGAAAAUUAUAUUGUAAAAGUGUUCAAGAGAGGUUGUUCCCUGAUGCUAGGAGUUAUAACUGAUAACUGAUUAGAUAUAUGCCCUUGGAGUUGGUGUUGAAGGAAACUGCAGUUAGUUAAUCCCUGUUAUGGUUUGUUCUGUCUUCUGUGAACAUUGAUGAAUGUUGUGGAAUGUGCUAAUGAUAGGGAACAAUGACGGCGCUUGUUGACUGCAACUGGUGCCACAAUGCCAUGUUGCUGUGGAAUUCAGUUAUAGCCUAUUGAUAUAAUUUAAGAUUCUGGUGUUUAUACACAUGUCAUUUGAAUUGUUUUUGUUAUAUUUUAGCUGCUAGAUUGCUUGCAGGUUGCAUUCUUUUCUAUUACAGGUACAUAAAGUUUCGGCUGAGGAAGGGUAAUACUGGUCUUAUUUCAAGGUAAGGGUUUAUCUUCAGGUUCAAUGAGUUCGUCCACUAAUGGGAAAACCUAAGAGUCAAAUCCAGUUGAGGGUGAAGUACAAUUGGAACUUGGAAGGACCGAAUUGCCGAAGUUUUACAUUCUUUAUCACCAUCUUUCUCUUGCUGAUUGUAUCCUUCUUGGUUGUGUUUAUAUUAAGGCUCCAGAAGUCAUAUAACAGCAUUAAAGCAAGAUGAGUGCCAUCUCAAAGUCUGCAUUUGACUUUCCUAUUGAAGAGGGUUAUACCUGCUAAUGAGAUUGUCAUCUAUUGAUGUCAUAAUAAAAGAUUAAAAGUACAAGCAUAUGUAUGAAAUGCUUAAAAAACACACAUUAUUUGAUUGCAUUUGGAAGACUAUUAAGAUGGUAGGAGCUAGAGUCAAAUACUUUUGCUAAUGUAGUUGAAUGUCUAUAUAAUUUGUAUUAGCCGUACUAUGGUAGUUUUAGCCCCAUUUGUUUAGGCUGUAACUAAAAAGUUGUAACUUUAUGUUUCCAGAACAAUUCAUGCUUAUUAGGGAAAAUUUUUAAACACUUGUCAAUUUACUCUUCUUUUCCACUAAUUCUGGCAUUCAGUUCCAUUCGGGUUAUUUUUUUUAAAGCUGAUCAUAACUCACCCUAACCACAUGUCUGUAUGGAUUUAUGCCAACUUUAUCUAUUAAGAGAAACUUUGGCAAUUUUCAGAUGAAGCAAUCAAAUCAGCUAAUCUGGUCUUGUUAGCUAAUUAUGGCUUCCCAUCCUUACCUUGUUAAUGGACUUUUCUUGUAGCUUCAAGCAACUUUUGGGUCAAAUUUUGCCUACUGAAGAUGAUGGAAGAAAAGGGGUGUGAACAACAAUUAUAUUC